GUCUACGGCCAUGCCACCCUGAAUGUGCCUGAUCUUGUUUAAUCUCGGAAGCUCAGCAGGGUCGGGCCUUGUUAGUACUUGGAUGGGAGACCACCUCGGAAUACCAGAUACUGCAGGCG
This 119-nucleotide ribosomal RNA is filed under the name Pteropus alecto (black flying fox). Lineage: Eukaryota; Metazoa; Chordata; Mammalia; Chiroptera; Pteropodidae. The record is from RNAcentral.